Molecule: transfer RNA, 73 nt
Filed under: Clostridiales bacterium
Lineage: Bacteria; Bacillati; Bacillota; Clostridia; Eubacteriales
Also listed under: 2 other names
Description: tRNA-Arg
Rfam family: tRNA
About the family: Transfer RNA (tRNA) molecules are approximately 80 nucleotides in length. Their secondary structure includes four short double-helical elements and three loops (D, anti-codon, and T loops). Further hydrogen bonds mediate the characteristic L-shaped molecular structure. tRNAs have two regions of fundamental functional importance: the anti-codon, which is responsible for specific mRNA codon recognition, and the 3' end, to which the tRNAs corresponding amino acid is attached (by aminoacyl-tRNA synthetases). tRNAs cope with the degeneracy of the genetic code in two manners: having more than one tRNA (with a specific anti-codon) for a particular amino acid; and 'wobble' base-pairing, i.e. permitting non-standard base-pairing at the 3rd anti-codon position.
Source: RNAcentral
GGACCAUUAGCUCAGGGGAUAGAGUGGCAGACUUCGAAUCUGCGCGUCGGGGGUUCGAAUCCCUCAUGGUUCA